This 492-nucleotide ribosomal RNA is filed under the name Diaporthe sp. Lj017. RNAcentral's name for it is "eukaryotic LSU rRNA". The stretch from base 178 to 331 matches the Rfam family "5.8S ribosomal RNA". The record is from RNAcentral. Lineage: Eukaryota; Fungi; Ascomycota; Sordariomycetes; Diaporthales; Diaporthaceae.
CUGGAACGCGCCCCAGGCGCACCCAGAAACCCUUUGUGAACUUAUACCUUACUGUUGCCUCGGCGCUAGCUGGUCCUUCGGGGCCCCUCACCCUCGGGUGUUGAGACAGCCCGCCGGCGGCCAACCUAACUCUUGUUUUUACACUGAAACUCUGAGAAUAAAACAUAAAUGAAUCAAAACUUUCAACAACGGAUCUCUUGGUUCUGGCAUCGAUGAAGAACGCAGCGAAAUGCGAUAAGUAAUGUGAAUUGCAGAAUUCAGUGAAUCAUCGAAUCUUUGAACGCACAUUGCGCCCUCUGGUAUUCCGGAGGGCAUGCCUGUUCGAGCGUCAUUUCAACCCUCAAGCCUGGCUUGGUGAUGGGGCACUGCCUGUAAAAGGGCAGGCCCUGAAAUUCAGUGGCGAGCUCGCCAGGACCCCGAGCGCAGUAGUUAAACCCUCGCUCUGGAAGGCCCUGGCGGUGCCCUGCCGUUAAACCCCCAACUUCUGAAAAU